GGGAGGCCAACGUUAAUAAAAGAAUAGUCCUAUAACGGUGUGGUUCGAGUUUAGGUCAGAUAACGUGAAUUUGUAAUGAACUCAGUCAACGAGGUUUUAUAACGUCCUCUUGAGGCUCAGGAGUAGGAACAGAGAAGAUAAAGGCGAUCCAGAGCUGGAGAUCAGCAAAGGGGUAACAGUAGAAGGAAAUGAGGCGUUCUGAGAAGGCGUCUGCAGUUUUCACCAGUCUGCCAAAGGAGUCCGUGACACAGAAAAGGCCAAGCCCUUUGGAAUUAGAGCUUUUCUGGUGCCUUCUGGAAUGGCUUUCUCUCUGGAGAGAUCUUCCAAACCUUACCUGCCCCACUUGAGGAGAAGACAAGGAUGGAAGUAGGGGGAAGAAGAGACUCAGCACCUUCUGAUUUUAAAAACUCCACACCGUUAAGAAUUGUAAAUCUUUCCUGUUUGAACUUAGUUCAUUUCAUCAUGAUCAGUCCUCAGAAUGAGUAACAAGCAAAAUGAAUUACUGAGCCUAAUGCAAGGUGGUAAGUUUGAUCUCAUAGGAAUUAUUGAGACUUGAUAGGAUGAGACCCGUGACUGGAAUAUGUCUCUGGAAGGCGUAAACCUUAUUGUAACAGAAGAGAAAAAGGCAAGGGCAAAAGGGAGGAGAGCAGAACUGCAUAAUGAGAAAAUGUAUUCAUUUGAGGAAAUCCAAACAACGAGGAGGAUGGAGAACAUUUAUGUGAAAAUCAGUGGCCUACUUGUCGCAGUCUCUCUCCACGUGGGAGAACUAGGGGCAGAGUGCCAGGAACCAAUGUGUCUGGGCACAGGAACAGUUUCAAUACUAAGCUCAAUGUAGCUUCUUUCCUUCCACCGUCUUUCUCCCAGAAAUCUUCACAAAGCAGUCCUAGAAGCUCCUGUUCCAUGAUGUCACUAGUUGAUGAAUUCUAGGGUAGUAUCUCUCAUCUUCAUGGUGACGGUGACACAAGAUUACAUUCCUCCCCAGGGCCAUAUGUUUUUCAGUCCCUUGUAAAACUUAACUGGACCGUACUUAUAAUCUUUAAUUACAUGACAUAAGCAUAAAUGUCAAUACUUUGAAAUUAAUAAGGGUGAUUUUCUUGGCACCCUAGGUAAUCAUUCUACAGUACCAUUAAAGACAAAUGCACAUUAUCAACAGAUGCAACAUUCUUGGUAUGGUGGAGUAUGCCUUUAAUCCCAGCUAUAGGGGAGGUUAAGGUUGUCAAAAUCUUGAUAUGCUGAUUGUGUCUCUACACUGUUUGGCAUCAAUAUGGUGAGCUCCUGGGAACAGCAGUCCACUAGGCUGCCCAAGCAGGGUAAAUCAGCACUGGUAAGAAAUAGAGAAGGUCAAAGCGCCCAUGCCAAUUGGUAGUAAGAUUGGGCCCGUGAGAGGUUGCUGUACUUCCAGCCUGAGUGAGAAGGAGAAACCCAAUCUUAAAUAAACAAACCAAUAAAUAAGCAAUAGAUUCGAUAGACACAGCACUCUACAAAACGUCACUCGACAGGAUGCUUCAGUGACUAAUGUUCAGAUUACAUUCGUGACAUAGUACAUGCACAUUUCAGGAGCUCAUGUGUAACAUGGGGUUCCAGGCAAGUCUGGAGCAUUUUCGAGAGACUCCCUUAAUUGGUGGAGAGACUGCUGAUGCAACACUGCUGUGACUACAUGAGAAGUAGAGUUUAUGUGAGAGGUGGAGAUCUAACCAUGUCACCCCCUUACUCGAUCACCUCCAGGACUCUGUCACCUCCAAGAUCGAAGAUGACAUCCUCUGUUUGGCAUUCAGAGCCCUUCGCAGCCUAGUAUCUAUCCUACAUUUCCAGUCUUCUUACUAGUUACCUCCCCCACUGCCGCUCCCACCCCCUACAUCUAUACUCUUCAGUCCAAAGACGCUGGCUUCUUUGUUGUUCCUGUAAGAAGUCACUCCAUUUCUUGGUUCUGAGCAUUUUCUCUGGCUGUCUCCUAUGUCUCCUUCUUCAUCUUUGCCUACUGACUUCUCUGCCUUCCUUUAAU
Molecule: non-coding RNA, 2002 nt
Organism: Phascolarctos cinereus (koala)
Lineage: Eukaryota; Metazoa; Chordata; Mammalia; Diprotodontia; Phascolarctidae
Source: RefSeq, a predicted model, not a curated record